CAGCAAACACUUCCAAGACAAACCCACCCGAAGCAGUGAGCUGAAGGCAGCACUUCGUGGCUGAGAGGCUACUCUACGGUACUGGCUCUGAGCCUGUGAACUGGGAGGGCUCUUCCUACCACCCACUGGUCAAGGUCCUUGGCCAGUACCACCAUCCAAAACAUAAGGUGUUCCUAAAGAAGCUGGUCACAAAUCACCUAAGAGAAAGUGCCUAGAGAAAUAAUAUAAAUGAAGUAAAUCAGCCCAGCUUCCAUUCUGUGGCAUGAAUGAAGACGUGAGGGAAACAAAGUUUCCCGUGUACCUGGGAGAAGACAGCACCCGAUUUAGUUAAGAGGCCUUUCUGUUUUAGCA
Long non-coding RNA from Ailuropoda melanoleuca (giant panda), 351 nucleotides. RefSeq lists it as uncharacterized. The transcript is spliced from 3 exons. Lineage: Eukaryota; Metazoa; Chordata; Mammalia; Carnivora; Ursidae. The record is from RefSeq and is a predicted model, not a curated record.